CCUACGGGAGGCAGCAGUGGGGAAUAUUGCACAAUGGGGGAAACCCUGAUGCAGCGACGCCGCGUGAGUGAAGAAGUAUCUCGGUACGUAAAGCUCUAUCAGCAGGGAAGAUAAUGACGGUACCUGACCAAGAAGCCCCGGCUAACUACGUGCAAGCAGCCGCAGGAAUACGUAGGGGGCAAGCGUUAUCCUGAUUUACUGGGUGUAAAGGGAGCGUUGACGGCAGCACAAGUCUGGAGUGAAAUCCACGGGCGUAACCCCGGAACUGCUUUUGAAACUGUGCGGCUUGAGUGCCGGAGGGGUAAGCGGAAUUCCUAGUGUAGCGGUGAAAUGCGUAGAUAUGAGGAGGAACACCGGUGGCGAAGGCGGCUUACUGGACUGUAACUGACGUUGAGGCUCGAAAGCGUGGGGAGCAAACAGGAUUAGAUACCCUAGUAGUC
Molecule: ribosomal RNA, 440 nt
Filed under: uncultured bacterium
Lineage: Bacteria
Description: partial 16S ribosomal RNA
Rfam family: Bacterial small subunit ribosomal RNA
Source: RNAcentral